This 1178-nucleotide small RNA is filed under the name Pochonia chlamydosporia. RNAcentral describes it as "eukaryotic LSU rRNA". The stretch from base 555 to 1178 matches the Rfam family "Eukaryotic large subunit ribosomal RNA", at positions 1 to 648 of the family's 3401-position model. The record is from RNAcentral. Lineage: Eukaryota; Fungi; Ascomycota; Sordariomycetes; Hypocreales; Clavicipitaceae.
UCUCCGUUGGUGAACCNGCGGANGGAUCAUUACCGAGUUUUCAACUCCCAAACCCCAUGUGAACUUAUACCAUUUACAACCGUUGCUUCGGCGGGUUCUCGCCCCGGGCUUUACACCCCGGAACCAGGCGGCCCGCCGGGGGACCCAAACUCUAGAUUUUUAUUUUAGCAUGUCUGAGUGGAAUCAUUACAAAAUGAAUCAAAACUUUCAACAACGGAUCUCUUGGUUCUGGCAUCGAUGAAGAACGCAGCGAAAUGCGAUAAGUAAUGUGAAUUGCAGAAUUCAGUGAAUCAUCGAAUCUUUGAACGCACAUUGCGCCCGCCAGUAUUCUGGCGGGCAUGCCUGUUCGAGCGUCAUUUCAACCCUCAAGCCCCAGCGGUUUGGUGUUGGGGACCGGCGAGUACAGAGGCUUUGGGGACUUGUCCCCCUUCCCUCGGCGCCGCCCCCGAAAUGAAUUGGCGGUCUCGUCGCGGCCUCCUCUGCGUAGUAGCACAACCUCGCAUCAGGAGCGCGGCGCGGCCACUGCCGUAAAACGCCCAACUUUUUUUAAGAGUUGACCUCGAAUCAGGUAGGAAUACCCGCUGAACUUAAGCAUAUCAAUAAGCGGAGGAAAAGAAACCAACAGGGAUUGCCCCAGUAACGGCGAGUGAAGCGGCAACAGCUCAAAUUUGAAAUCUGGCCCCUAGGGCCCGAGUUGUAAUUUGCAGAGGAUGCUUUUGGCGAGGUGCCUUCCGAGUUCCCUGGAACGGGACGCCAUAGAGGGUGAGAGCCCCGUCUGGUUGGAUGCCGAGCCUCUGUAAAGCUCCUUCGACGAGUCGAGUAGUUUGGGAAUGCUGCUCUAAAUGGGAGGUAUAUGUCUUCUAAAGCUAAAUACCGGCCAGAGACCGAUAGCGCACAAGUAGAGUGAUCGAAAGAUGAAAAGCACUUUGAAAAGAGGGUUAAAUAGUACGUGAAAUUGUUGAAAGGGAAGCACUUAUGACCAGACUUGGACCCGGUGAAUCAUCCAGCGUUCUCGCUGGUGCACUUUGCCGGGCUCAGGCCAGCAUCAGUUUGCCUCGGGGGAUAAAGGCUUUGGGAAUGUGGCUCCCUCGGGAGUGUUAUAGCCCAUUGCACAAUACCCUGGGGCGGACUGAGGUUCGCGCAUCUGCAAGGAUGCUGGCGUAAUGGUCAUCAGUGAC